AGCAGCCGCGGUAAUUCCAGCUCCAAUAGCGUAUAUUAAAGUUGUUGCAGUUAAAAAGCUCGUAGUUGAAUUUCGGGGUUAGUAGGUUGGUCAUGCCUCUGGUAUGUACUGGUCUCACUGAUUCCUCCUUCCUGAUGAUCCGUAAUGCCAUUUAUUUGGUGUUGCGGGGAAUUUGGACUGUUACUUUGAAAAAAUUAGAGUGUUUAAAGCAAGCUAACGCUUGAAUACAUUAGCAUGGAAUAAUGAAAUAGGACGUUCGAUCCUAUUUUGUUGGUUUCUAGGAUUGACGUAAUGAUUAAUAGGGAUAGUUGGGGGCAUUAGUAUUCAAUUGUCAGAGGUGAAAUUCUUGGAUUUAUUGAAGACUAACUACUGCGAAAGCAUUUGCCAAGGAUGUUUUCAUUAAUCAAGAACGAAAGUUAGGGGAUCGAAGACGAUCAGAUACCGUCGUAGUCUUAACCAUAAACUAUGCCGACUAGGGAUCGGAUGAUGUUAAUUUUUAAUGACUCAUUCGGCGCCUUAA
RNAcentral lists this ribosomal RNA (520 nucleotides) under uncultured Glomus. RNAcentral's name for it is "SSU rRNA". It matches the Rfam family "Eukaryotic small subunit ribosomal RNA", at positions 569 to 1091 of the family's 1831-position model. The record is from RNAcentral. Lineage: Eukaryota; Fungi; Glomeromycota; Glomeromycetes; Glomerales; Glomeraceae.